Molecule: ribosomal RNA, 454 nt
Filed under: uncultured bacterium
Lineage: Bacteria
Description: bacterial SSU rRNA
Rfam family: Bacterial small subunit ribosomal RNA
Source: RNAcentral
AACGAACGCUGGCGGCAGGCUUAACACAUGCAAGUCGAGCGCGGUCCUUCGGGACUGAGCGGCGGACGGGUGAGUAACGCGUGGGAACGUGCCCUUUCCUCCGGAAUAGCCCUGGGAAACUGGGAGUAAUGCCGGAUACGCCUUUCGAGGGAAAGAUUUAUCGGGGAAGGAUCGGCCCGCGUUGGAUUAGGUAGUUGGUGGGGUAACGGCCUACCAAGCCGACGAUCCAUAGCUGGUUUGAGAGGAUGAUCAGCCACACUGGGACUGAGACACGGCCCAGACUCCUACGGGAGGCAGCAGUGGGGAAUCUUGGACAAUGGGGGCAACCCUGAUCCAGCCAUGCCGCGUGAGCGAUGAAGGCCUUAGGGUUGUAAAGCUCUUUCAGCGGGGAAGAUAAUGACGGUACCCGCAGAAGAAGCCCCGGCUAACUCCGUGCCAGCCGCCGCAGUAAGAC